This is a long non-coding RNA of Thalassophryne amazonica, 257 nucleotides long. RefSeq lists it as uncharacterized. The transcript is spliced from 2 exons. The record is from RefSeq and is a predicted model, not a curated record. NCBI's taxonomy places the organism in Eukaryota, Metazoa, Chordata, Actinopteri, Batrachoidiformes, Batrachoididae.
AAAAAAUCAAUAGGCCUGUAACUCAUUACUGUGUGCCCGCCUCAAUGAAGCAAAUGCUUUGUCACGCAUGACCCAUGGCGCACUUCCCAGAAGAAGAUCCACAACAGUGAGCAGAAGAGGAAGGUCAGCAAGAAGCGGCGGUCCAUCAGACCAUCUUCAGCCUUCACUCGGACCACUUUGUACGCUCGGAAAAACUGCCUAUCACCAGAUGGAUAGUUAAUUUACCUGUGAGGAAAGACAGAUCUGCUUUAGUUCCA